This 950-nucleotide non-coding RNA is filed under the name Lophocebus albigena (gray-cheeked mangabey). RNAcentral describes it as "12S ribosomal RNA". It matches the Rfam family "Bacterial small subunit ribosomal RNA". The record is from RNAcentral. Lineage: Eukaryota; Metazoa; Chordata; Mammalia; Primates; Cercopithecidae.
AAUAGGCUUGGUCCUGGCCUUUCCAUUGGCUACUAGCAAGAUUACACAUGCAAACAUCCCUGCACCGGUGAAGACGCCCCAUAAAUCAUCUAUGAUAAAAAGGAGCAAGUAUCAAGCACGCACAUGCAGCUCAAAACACUUUGCCUAGCCACACCCCCACGGGAGACAGCAGUGACGAAUCUUUAGCAAUAAACGAAAGUUUAACUAAGCUAUGCUACAUUAAGGGUUGGUCAAUUUCGUGCCAGCUACCGCGGUCACACGAUUAACCCUAGUCAACAGAAACCGGCGUAGAGGGUGUUUAAGAUCUAAUACAAUAAAGCUAAACUCCAUCUAAACUGUAAAACCCUAGCUGAUGUAAAAUAAACUACGAAAGUGGCUUUAAAACCUCUGAACACACAAUAGCUAAGACCCAAACUGGGAUUAGACACCCCACUAUGCUUAGCCUUAAACCUCAAUAGUUAAACAACAAAACUAUUCGCCAGAAUACUACAAGCAACAGCUUAAAACUCAAAGGACUUGGCGGUGCUUUAUAUUCCCCCUAGAGGAGCCUGUUCCAUAAUCGAUAAACCCCGAUCCACCCUACCCUCUCUUGCUCAGCCUAUAUACCGCCAUCUUCAGCAAACCCUGACGAAGGCCACAAAGUGAGCGCAAAUGCCCNCGCCGCAAAAACGUUAGGUCAAGGUGUAGCCCAUGAGACGGUAAAAAAUGGGCUACAUUUUCUACCUCAGAAAAUCUUACGAUACCUCUUAUGAAACCUAAGAGUCUAAGGAGGAUUUAGCAGUAAAUCAAGAAUAGAGUGCUUGAUUGAACUAGGCCAUGAAGCGCGUACACACCGCCCGUCGCUCCUCUCAAAUAUAUUUGAGGAACAUCUUAACUAAACACUCCAACAUCUAUACAGAGAGGAUAAGUCGUAACACGGUAAGUGUACUGGAAGGUGCACUUGGAUAAAU